Molecule: ribosomal RNA, 460 nt
Filed under: uncultured bacterium
Lineage: Bacteria
Description: partial 16S ribosomal RNA
Rfam family: Bacterial small subunit ribosomal RNA
Source: RNAcentral
CCUACGGGAGGCAGCAGUGAGGAAUAUUGGUCAAUGGGCGCGAGCCUGAACCAGCCAAGUAGCGUGAAGGAUGACUGCCCUACGGGUUGUAAACUUCUUUUAUAAAGGAAUACAGUGAGGCACGUGUGCCUUUUUGUAUGUACUUUAUGAAUACGGAUCGGCUAACUCCGUGCCAGCAGCCGCGGUAAUACGGAGGAUACGAGCGUUAUCCGGAUUUAUUGGGUUUAAAGGGAGCGUAGAUGGGUUGUUAAGUCAGUUGUGAAAGUUUGCGGCUCAACCGUAAAAUUGCAAUUGAUACUGGCAGUCUUGAGUACAGUUGAGGUGGGCGGAAUUCGUGGUGUAGCGGUGAAAUGCUUAGAUAUCACGAAGAGCUCCGAUGGCGAAGGCAGCUUACUAAACUGCCACUGACAUUGAUGCUCGAAAGUGUGGGUAGCAAACAGGAUUAGAUACCCCUGUAGUC